GACGAACGCUGGCGGCGUGCUUAACACAUGCAAGUCGAACGGAAAGGCCCUGCUUUUGUGGGGUGCUCGAGUGGCGAACGGGUGAGUAACACGUGAGUAACCUGCCCUUGACUUUGGGAUAACUUCAGGAAACUGGGGCUAAUACCGGAUAGGAGCUCCUGCUGCAUGGUGGGGGUUGGAAAGUUUCGGCGGUUGGGGAUGGACUCGCGGCUUAUCAGCUUGUUGGUGGGGGAGUGGCUUACCAAGGCUUUGACGGGUAGCCGGCCUGAGAGGGUGACCGGCCACCUUGGGACUGAGAUACGGACCAGACUCCUACGGGAGGCAGCAGUGGGGAAUAUUGCACAGUGGGCGGAAGCCUGAUGCAGCAACGCCGCGUGCGGGAUGACGGCCUUCGGGUUGUAAACCGCUUUCGCCUGUGACGAAGCGUGAGUGACGGUAAUGGGUAAAGAAGCACCGGCUAACUACGUG
RNAcentral lists this ribosomal RNA (468 nucleotides) under uncultured bacterium. RNAcentral describes it as "partial 16S ribosomal RNA". It matches the Rfam family "Bacterial small subunit ribosomal RNA", at positions 28 to 507 of the family's 1533-position model. The record is from RNAcentral.